RNAcentral lists this ribosomal RNA (468 nucleotides) under uncultured bacterium. RNAcentral describes it as "partial 16S ribosomal RNA". It matches the Rfam family "Bacterial small subunit ribosomal RNA", at positions 28 to 507 of the family's 1533-position model. The record is from RNAcentral.
GACGAACGCUGGCGGCGUGCUUAACACAUGCAAGUCGAACGGAAAGGCCCUGCUUUUGUGGGGUGCUCGAGUGGCGAACGGGUGAGUAACACGUGAGUAACCUGCCCUUGACUUUGGGAUAACUUCAGGAAACUGGGGCUAAUACCGGAAAGGAGCUCCUGCUGCAUGGUGGGGGUUGGAAAGUUUCGGCGGUUGGGGAUGGACUCGCGGCUUAUCAGCUUGUUGGUGGGGUAGUGGCUUACCAAGGCUUUGACGGGUAGCCGGCCUGAGAGGGUGACCGGCCACAUUGGGACUGAGAUACGGCGCAGACUCCUACGGGAGGCAGCAGUGGGGAAUAUUGCACAAUGGGCGGAAGCCUGAUGCAGCAACGCCGCGUGCGGGAUGACGGCCUUCGGGUUGUAAACCGCUUUCGCCUGUGACGAAGCGUGAGUGACGGUAAUGGGUAAAGAAGCACCGGCUAACUACGUG